UAUAAAUCGGCAAAGUCUUGUCAUCCUCCUCAUCACUAAUAUCAUAUCUCCAAAAACCUACUUUCCAAUGGAUCACCUUCCAUCUCUGAAGAUAAUUGAGAUCUGUAAAGUGGCUCCUCCGCCGCCGGAGGCGUCACGUGCCGCGGCUGUGCCGUCGUCUCUUCCUCUCACCUUCUUCGACCUGUUAUGGCUGAGGUUCCAUCCAAUCCAACGCCUUUUCUUCUACGAGUUACCGUCUAAUGAUAUAUCUUUUGUUGACGAAGUUGUUCCGAACCUCAAAACCUCUCUUUCUCUUACUCUUCGCUAUUAUCUUCCUCUGGCUGGCAACCUCGUUUGGCUUCCACACUCUGACGUUCCGACCGUCGAGUUUGUCGACGGGGACGGCGUUUCUCUGACGGUGGCUGAGUCGGGAGCUGACUUUUACCGACUUUCUGGCAAUGGGUUCCGUGAAGUUUCUGAAUUUCAUCCUCUUGUCCCCCAAUUGCCUGUUUCCCAUGAUCGUGCUGCAGUGAUUGCCGUUCAGGUCACCACAUUUCAAAACAAAGGGUUUUCCAUUGGAAUAACCAAUCACCAUGCAAUUCUUGACGGAUUAACCUCAACUUCAUUUAUCAAAUCGUGGGCUCAAAUUUGCAUGGACGAAUCAUCUGUUCCAAUCGCCAACCUAAUGCCAUUCUAUGACAGGUCGGUUAUUGAUGAUCCAAAAGGUCUUGCCAAAAUCUAUGCAAGCGCAUGGAUGAACCAAGACGGACCCGACAACAGGAGCUUAAACCUUAAACUACCCAAAACUAAACCUAGUUUAAUCCGAAGCACUUUUGAGUUCACACACCAAAACCUGCAGAAGCUAAAGCAAUGGAUUUUGAAGAAGAACGAUGAGAAGAUGUCUUCAUUUGUAGUGGCAAUGGCUUAUCUUUGUGUAUGUACAGCCAAGUUGGAAGGUUUAAGAGAUGGAAAUUUGUUUUUCGUGUUUUCUGGUGAUGUUAGAUCUCGUUUAAAGCCACCGGUGCCUUUGAAUUACUUUGGAAAUUGCGUGGUUGGUAGUUUUCUUUCCUUUGAAAGAAUUGAGCUUUUGGGUGAAAAUGGCAUAGCUUUGGCUUGUGAACAGAUCUCGAAGGCUACUAAGAAUUUAGGAGGAGGAGGAGCUUUAAAGGGAGCAGACAAUUUGGGUACAAUUAUGAGUGAAGUGACCAAUGAUUAUUCCAAAAUACAACCCAUUGGCCUUGCUGGGUCACCUAGAUUUGGAGUUUAUAGUGCAGAUUUUGGAUGGGGAAAGCCAAUGAAGGUGGAAAUAGUGUCAGCUGAAUCACCAUUAGUGUUUUCUUUGAGUGAUAGCAAAAAUAGCGAUGUGGGAAUGGAGAUUGGAGUGGUUAAGGAGAGGGAGCAAAUGGAAACUUUUGUUGCUCUGUUCAAUGAAGGUUUUGAUGCUCUUUGAAAUCAUUGGAGUCAGACUCAAAUGUGUUAUCAACUGUGGAUGUAUUUUAAGGCUUAUUUUAUUAUUUUUUAUGAUUAUUUUGUUUGCA
RNA transcript from Cucurbita maxima (winter squash), 1517 nucleotides. It is a transcript of the gene named phenolic glucoside malonyltransferase 1-like, with no coding region annotated. NCBI's taxonomy places the organism in Eukaryota, Viridiplantae, Streptophyta, Magnoliopsida, Cucurbitales, Cucurbitaceae. The record is from RefSeq and is a predicted model, not a curated record. The transcript has 3 exons.